UACGUAGGUGGCAAGCGUUGUCCGGAAUUAUUGGGCGUAAAGCGCGCGCAGGCGGUCCUUUAAGUCUGAUGUGAAAGCCCACGGCUCAACCGUGGAGGGUCAUUGGAAACUGGGGGGCUUGAGUGCAGAAGAGGAGAGUGGAAUUCCACGUGUAGCGGUGAAAUGCGUAGAGAUGUGGAGGAACACCAGUGGCGAAGGCGACUCUCUGGUCUGUAACUGACGCUGAGGCGCGAAAGCGUGGGGAGCAAACAGG
Molecule: ribosomal RNA, 253 nt
Filed under: uncultured bacterium
Lineage: Bacteria
Description: partial 16S ribosomal RNA
Rfam family: Bacterial small subunit ribosomal RNA
Source: RNAcentral